UGUUUUUGGAGAAGUGAGACUGAUAUUACUUAGUGUUGGAAAUCAGUGUUGUGGCUUCUAGAACUGUGGACCUAGAACCAAAGAAAGGGUUUUAUUCUAGCUGUGAUGGAAGCCUCCAUGGGAGGAGUUUGUUUGAGGCCUGGCAGAGCUCCUCUGUGGAGGAGCAUACAAGUUAUUUUACAGCUAAGAACCAGACCUGUGUGGAGGUCAAGUUUCUUUGGCUCAAUUAAAUCACACAGGACUAGAUUCUGGAAACAGUUGGAAUUGGAUCUAGUUGCACAUCCUGUUCUGUUCUUAGGGGUGUCCAUGGCAAAUUUUGUUGAAAGUCUGAGAAGGUGUGCUUAGCACUAAUACAAUACCCUGACGGAUCCCUGUUCAGGUGCAGAUUACCUGGGGGAAAGAGAACUGAGUUUUGAUCUGUUACAAAUUAGUAAUAUAAUAACAGUGAAAGAAAACCAAGAAGAUAUUAUAGGUGCUGAGGUGAAUCUGUGUUGGAAUCUUGAACAGAUCAUAUUCUUGUAUAAAUAUGCCUGUGGAGUAAACAGUUUUCCUUCUUAGGAAGCUUCCAACAUUUGGGAAAAGGAAUAUAGCUUCAGGGACUCUGCUCAUACAGGAGAUGGUAAGUGUGCUUGAUGAAUGGGGCUUGUGAAAUAUGAGUAUUAAAAACCACAAUAGUAAUUCACUUGAUGUAGUUUUAACCAGCGUCCCUUGCCUCUUCUCUUCUGAGAAUAAAAGCAGGUGCAAAGUGCUUUAGGUCCUGGCUGCUUUGAGUGCUCCAUGAACCUGCAGCAUUGGCAAUACAUUGGCACCACCUGGAAGUUGGUUGUAAAUAAUAGAUUCUAUUUUAUUCUACUGAACCAGAGUCUGCAUUUUAACAAAAUACCCAGGUAAUUUGUUUUCAUGUUAGAUGCUGAGAAGUCCUGCUUUGAAGUACAUUUGAAAUCUUUUUUGUCAUUCUACCAUGAGUCCACUAGAUGUCACUCUUGUAACCUGGUAAUGGGAUGGCAUUUUUUUUUCCAGUGGGGACUUGCAAGAAUCCCUGAACAUGAUCACAUUAUUAUUAGAUGAUUUCCUUCCCAUUCUUAGAGCUACUGAUAUACACAUUGAUUAUUUAAGGUAAAACUACCUUUAUCUAUCAUUCAAAAUCCUGGAGAGAGAUUCCUGGGAACGGUUUUCAUUUUGUGGAGUUGACACUCCUGCCUACUGUCUUCCUUGUUGCAUGGAUUAAUCUGUCAUUAUAUAAUCUUAACAGAGAAUGCGCUGCAGAUUCUCUGACUGGCUCCCUGAGAGAACAGCACCCUGGGCUGCUGAGCACAGCAACACAGAAUAAACGAACAGUUUUGAUCUUUGUAGAAAUCACUGCAAGCAGGAAGGAAGAAAGUCUGUAUCUUGAAAUUAGCAUCAGCUUCUAAGGUGUGAUUGUUGCAGGAAGUGCCGACCUUUCUGAGUUUGGGGUUGUUUCAAGUUAACAAGGACAGUAAAGAAGUCAUAAAGUAGCAGACAGAGUUUCACUUUAUUGCCC
Molecule: long non-coding RNA, 1522 nt
Organism: Otolemur garnettii (small-eared galago)
Lineage: Eukaryota; Metazoa; Chordata; Mammalia; Primates; Galagidae
Exons: 3
Source: RefSeq, a predicted model, not a curated record